GACGACCGGCAAACGGGUGCGGAACAUGUACGCAACCAUUCCCAAAACUGGUGAAUAGCCCUCCGGAAAGGAGGAUUAAUACACCGUAAGAUAAUGAAGAGGCAUCUCUUUAUAAUUAUAGCUCCGGCGGUUUAGGAUGGGCGUGCACCUGAUAAGGUAAGUUGGUGAGGUAACGGCUCACCAAGCCUGCGAUCAGUAACUGGUGUGAGAGCACGACCAGUUCACACGGGCACUGAGACACGGGCCCGACUCCUACGGGAGGCAGCAGUAAGGAAUAUUGGUCAAUGGACGAAAGUCUGAACCAGCCAUGCCGCGUGAAGGAUGACGGCCCUCUGGGUUGUAGACUUCUCUUAUAUGGGACGAAAAAAGGGAAUUCUUUCUCACUAGACGGUACCAUACGGAAUAAGCACCGGCUAACUCCGUGCCAGCAGGCACGCGGUAAUACGGAGGGUGC
RNAcentral lists this ribosomal RNA (454 nucleotides) under uncultured bacterium. RNAcentral describes it as "bacterial SSU rRNA". It matches the Rfam family "Bacterial small subunit ribosomal RNA", at positions 90 to 535 of the family's 1533-position model. The record is from RNAcentral.